This 410-nucleotide ribosomal RNA is filed under the name uncultured bacterium. Its description in RNAcentral is "bacterial SSU rRNA". It matches the Rfam family "Bacterial small subunit ribosomal RNA", at positions 28 to 424 of the family's 1533-position model. The record is from RNAcentral.
GACGAACGCUGGCGGCGUGCCUAAUACAUGCAAGUCGAGCGGACCAAAGGGAGCUUGCUCCUGGAGGUUAGCGGCGAACGGGUGAGUAACACGUGGGCAACCUGCCUGUAAGACUGGGAUAACAUCGAGAAAUCGGUGCUAAUACCGGAUAAUAAAAAGAACUGCAUGGUUCUUUUUGUAAAGAAUGGUUUCGGUCUAUCACUUACAGAUGGGCCGCGGCGCAUUAGCUAGUUAGGUGAGGUAACGGCUCACCAAGGCGACGGAUGCGUAGCCGACCUCGAGAGGGUGAUCGGCCACACUGGGACUGAGACACGGCCCAGACUCCUACGGGAGGCAGCAGUAGGGAAUCUUCCGCAAUGGACGAAAGUCUGACGGAGCAACGCCGCGUGAGUGAUGAAGGUCUUCGGAUC